Molecule: ribosomal RNA, 378 nt
Filed under: Triticum aestivum (bread wheat)
Lineage: Eukaryota; Viridiplantae; Streptophyta; Magnoliopsida; Poales; Poaceae
Description: partial small subunit ribosomal RNA
Source: RNAcentral
AUGCUAUCUAUGUUCACUGCCUGCCUUUUUGAACUAGUGUUGACAUUGCAUAGGUCACUGUUGAUUCACUGCCUUCUUUUGCUUGACUUGUUUGACCCAGAAAAAAGCAAGUAUAAUAAUCAGGACCCAAGUCCCAUUGAGUAUUUCAAAGAGACCCAUACGAACAGCAAGACUGGCAGCAUGAGCGAGCCGGCACAUCUAGCCUAUAAUGCGACUGAAAAGAAAAGGGAAACACAAUCAGAAGGUGAGCAACCAGUGUCUGAUUCAAUGAUUGUGGCUGAAGUUCUAAAGGAAGAAAGCACCCAGAGCACCUUCCUUUCCAGCAUGAGUUAUGCAUCAAGAUCCGAGAGAUCUAGGAGCUUUACUUCAUCAGCAUAG